AUCAAAAGUCCAAAGCUCUGGGAUGCCAAAAGUUUGCCACCCCCUGCCCUGUUUCUUAAGUUUAGAAGACCAAUAGUAUUCCAGGUUGACUCAGCCUUCUAUCCUUCCAAGGGGUACUGAUAGUAAUAAACCUACCACUGAGGAAGAUCUGCUUCAGGUGAGACUAUUGUCCAGUAGUGGUCCCAAGUUAACCAACUGAAGACCAAGAUACCAUAUCAACCCAAGCCUGCUGAAGGAAGUAAAGCUAUUGCACUCAAACUUCAUGUCAGCCAAAAUCUUCUGAACAUACCAGAGACACCCAACUCUUCAUUGCUUUGGUAGCAAGCAAGGAAGAUUAAAGCCAUUUAGAAGUGAAGUCACCAAGCUGGACAAUUUCAGACCCUUUUAGAGCCUGGAAUUCAUAUGGAUGCUAGAACCACUUGGACAGUAGCUAGAAACAGAAGGUGGCUUCACAUCCCUUGGAAAUGGAUGAAAAAGAGAUCCACAGACCAUUUUACAUUCACUUUAAAGUAGUUUCAUUCUCUUCUCCACCCAACUCCUUGACUGACAGAAAGCUGUUGGAGAUUUUUUUUUUACUAUUUAUGGUGUUUACUUAGGUUGAGCAUGGGGAAAACAAGCAAACACCCAAUGUUUGUCUUUACACCAACUUCCAUUUCCCCAAAGGAGGUAAGAUACCACUGAAGCCUCUACGGGUGAUUUGUUUUUGUGGUCUAAACAGAUUUUUGGCUAUAUUCUGGUGAAAAGUUUCUUUCAGCCUCACCCAAAGAGCACCAAAGUGCACCAACCACCACCCAUCAAAGCCAUUAAAAAUAUCUCAAAAGCCUUGAAAGUCCUUCUGCAUAUCCAGAGGCAAUGAAUACUGUACAGUUUUUCUUGAACAUGCAAAGCCUUUCAGUGUCUAAUCAGUUCUGCCUUUAACUGAUC
Molecule: non-coding RNA, 924 nt
Organism: Pogona vitticeps (central bearded dragon)
Lineage: Eukaryota; Metazoa; Chordata; Lepidosauria; Squamata; Agamidae
Source: RefSeq, a predicted model, not a curated record